CCUACGGGUGGCAGCAGUGAGGAAUAUUGGUCAAUGGACGAGAGUCUGAACCAGCCAAGUAGCGUGAAGGAUGACUGCCCUAUGGGUUGUAAACUUCUUUUAUAUGGGAAUAAAAUGUUCCACGUGUGGGAUUUUGUAUGUACCAUAUGAAUAAGGAUCGGCUAACUCCGUGCCAGCAGCCGCGGUAAUACGGAGGAUCCGAGCGUUAUCCGGAUUUAUUGGGUUUAAAGGGAGCGUAGGUGGAUUGUUAAGUCAGUUGUGAAAGUUUGCGGCUCAACCGUAAAAUUGCAGUUGAAACUGGCAGUCUUGAGUACAGUAGAUGUGGGCGGAAUUCGUGGUGUAGCGGUGAAAUGCUUAGAUAUCACGAAGAACUCCGAUUGCGAAGGCAGUUCACUGGACUGCAACUGACACUGAGGCUCGAAAGUGUGGGUAUCAAACAGGAUUAGAUACCCGAGUAGUC
This 460-nucleotide ribosomal RNA is filed under the name uncultured bacterium. RNAcentral's name for it is "partial 16S ribosomal RNA". It matches the Rfam family "Bacterial small subunit ribosomal RNA", at positions 338 to 795 of the family's 1533-position model. The record is from RNAcentral.